Molecule: regulatory RNA element, 46 nt
Organism: Loxodonta africana (African savanna elephant)
Lineage: Eukaryota; Metazoa; Chordata; Mammalia; Proboscidea; Elephantidae
Rfam family: Histone 3' UTR stem-loop
About the family: The mRNAs of metazoan histone genes lack a poly-A tail.
Source: Rfam
AAAAAGGUUUUUUUAAAAACCAUAAUUUUAAUCAUAGAAGAAAAGU